Molecule: ribosomal RNA, 255 nt
Filed under: uncultured bacterium
Lineage: Bacteria
Description: partial 16S ribosomal RNA
Rfam family: Bacterial small subunit ribosomal RNA
Source: RNAcentral
UACGUAGGGUGCAAGCGUUGUCCGGAAUUAUUGGGCGUAAAGAGCUCGUAGGCGGUCUGUCGCGUCUGCUGUGAAAACUCAGGGCUUAACCCUGAGCUUGCAGUGGGUACGGGCAGACUAGAGUGCGGUAGGGGAGACUGGAAUUCCUGGUGUAGCGGUGAAAUGCGCAGAUAUCAGGAGGAACACCGGUGGCGAAGGCGGGUCUCUGGGCCGUAACUGACGCUGGAGGCGCCGAAAGCGUGGGGAGCAAACAGG